AUUAGUUUUAAUUACUGAUAAAACUAAAAAGUAAAUAAAGGCCCAAUGCUUAGAUUACUAUUGCCUCUUCAAAGCCUUCAUCACCAAGCUCAAAACUAGAACCACUACCAACCUGCCUCCAAGGACCAAAUAGAAAUCCAAAAAACUAAAAGAUACCUAAGACACAUAAAAGGAGACAAAACCACACCUUAUAUCAAGAUAAAACACACUCCAAAAUUACACCUACACUCCCAAACCAAAAAAGAAGACAAUCUCAAAGAAAAAAUUCAGAAACACCAACACAACAGCACCACAUCUAGAAACAACUCCUGCAAAUAACAAACACACCAAAGACUGAGUAACCUCUAUCGUCACUAACAUCAAAACAACAACAGCAGCAUAAUCCCCAAAUCAGACGAUUUUAAUCAAUCUGAUAUAAACAAAAAUAACAAAAGAAGUGUUGUUGAUUGAGCAAGACUGAGUAACCUAACCUCUCAUGAUAAGAUGGAGGUUCAACUGCGAUGAACGAUGGCGGAACGAUGAAGAGUUUCUGGGUAAACGACUUCUGAAACGAUGGACAAUGAUGAACGAUUGGGAAAGAUGGUUUUAGGGUUUCAGCGAGUUCUCAAGGUUCAAUUGAUUUUUAUUUAAGGGUUUCAAUGGGAAUCUGGGUUCAAUCAAUUGACAUUCUACGGGGUUUAGGGUUUCAGUGAGUUUCUGGGUGAGAAGAAGGUCGAAGAAGAAGGGUUCUGGAUGGAGUGAGAGUGACGAAGGUUUAAAGAAGGUUGAGGGUUUCUAGGUGAAGUGAGAUUGAAGAAGAACGAAGGUGAGUGGGUAAUUUGUAGAAUCGAGUGAGGUGAAUGUUUCUGGGUGGUUUGAAGGUCGUUGGGUUUGAGUGAGAUGAACAAAGAGAACAGAAUUGGAACAAGGAAACCCUGAGUAGAGGAUGCGGUCAAUGGAAACUAUAAGUUUUUUUUUUCUAAAAAAUUGAUACAUGUUUUUUUUAUUAUUCAGCAAGGGUCGAAGGUUCGAUACUCGCCCACCACAGAUUUUAAUUAAUUUAUUUUUCUUACUAUAGCGCUCAUGUAAAACCCGCU
Molecule: long non-coding RNA, 1076 nt
Filed under: Trifolium pratense (red clover)
Lineage: Eukaryota; Viridiplantae; Streptophyta; Magnoliopsida; Fabales; Fabaceae
Description: long non-coding RNA (TPRA_LNC000452)
Source: RNAcentral